CUCUCUCUCCCGUGCUCCCUCUCUCUCUCUCUCUCUCUCUCCCUCUCCCCCUCUUUCUCUCUCCGUCCUCCCCCCAUUGUCUCCUGGUGUCUGACAGAGGGAAGGCAGCUCCCUCCUUUCUCAUCCGAGACGCAGAGAGAGAGCGGAGGAAGUCGAGGAGGGUCGCUCAAGUGGAGCCAGGCUGAGGUUUACCUCCAUGCAGUCCUAAUGGAGCCCGGAGGAAGAGAAGAGGAAGAAGGCCUCAGUGUAGGACCCAGUGGCUUGACUGAGCUGGACCGGCCUACACUACACCCUCACCAUCCUCUGGCCUAACAAAACAGGGUUAAGACAGAGACAUUUACAUUUUAGCCAUUUUACCGAUGCUCACAUCUAGAGCAACUUAGAUUACAUCAAGGCUGCCAAAUCAUGUUCCUGAAGAUCCACAAUCCUGUAGGUUUUCACUCCAACCCUAACAAAACCUAACAACACCUUAAACACCUCAUUCAACGGAUAGAGAUCUCAUUGAGCUGCUAAUUAGUUGAGUCAGGUGUGCCGAAUUAGUUGAAAACCUACAGAAUGGUACAUCUCCAGGAACAGGGUCAGCAGCCCUGGCUCACUGUCUCUUACACAUAACCCAUAUACACUAUUAUAUGGCUGGACGGUUCAGGUUCAAGCAUACAAUGGCAGUACCCCACCUGAGAAUCAAACCUGGAACCAGCUGCAAGCCCAGGUCUCUAACCAUUGUUCUGCAUUGGCCCAGACAGGGCUGUAGCCCAUGCACUGACACAAUACCAACACCAGAACUUAGGCAAUGCACUUAUGCAUGGCACUCUGGUUUGACAACAACAUGACUGCCUUCACCCUGUUUCACCAAAACUCCUCAUCAUUCCCACAAUGCAUCACUGAAUGGUCAGAGGUUUCAGACUACAGUCAGGCAUGUUGAUGAUACACAGAUUUGGUGCUUUCAAAAUAAUUUUUAAUAUAGCAUUAUAAUCAUCACUACUACUACUAAUGCUAAUAAUUAGAAGCAGAAGAAAUAUGGCUCUCACUAGCCUAUCAACACUCUAAUCACAUGUAUGUGGAUGGACCUCCCAGGGACCCCUGGUAAAAGCAUUCAAUUCAGCCACUACUCAAGCUGUUUUCACAGACCCUUUUCUUUUGCAGAUAAGCAGGCCUAAUCCUCCAAGCAUAAAUGUCCAUGUACAUUAAAAAAAUGAACAAUAAAUGUUUUCCCUACAUACAA
This is a long non-coding RNA of Conger conger (European conger), 1222 nucleotides long. RefSeq lists it as uncharacterized. Lineage: Eukaryota; Metazoa; Chordata; Actinopteri; Anguilliformes; Congridae. The transcript is spliced from 2 exons. The record is from RefSeq and is a predicted model, not a curated record.